Molecule: ribosomal RNA, 428 nt
Filed under: uncultured bacterium
Lineage: Bacteria
Description: bacterial SSU rRNA
Rfam family: Bacterial small subunit ribosomal RNA
Source: RNAcentral
GUAGGGAAUAUUGGACAAUGGGGGCAACCCUGAUCCAGCCAUGCCGCGUGAGUGAAGAAGGCCCUCGGGUUGUAAAGCUCUUUUGUCCGGAAAGAAAAGCUUCGGGUUAAUACCCCGGGGUUCUGACGGUACCGGAAGAAUAAGCACCGGCUAACUUCGUGCCAGCAGCCGCGGUAAUACGAAGGGUGCAAGCGUUACUCGGAAUUACUGGGCGUAAAGCGUGCGUAGGUGGUUGUUUAAGUCUGGUGUGAAAGCCCUGGGCUCAACCUGGGAAUGGCAUUGGAAACUGGGCAGCUAGAGUGCGGUAGAGGGUAGUGGAAUUCCCGGUGUAGCAGUGAAAUGCGUAGAGAUCGGGAGGAACAUCUGUGGCGAAGGCGACUGCCUGGACCAGCACUGACACUGAGGCACGAAAGCGUGGGGAGCAAACA